GAACUGAAGCUCUUGUCCAGGACCCCUACCUCUACCGGACCCCUUGGACCGGAAUCUGAGUGAUGCUGCAUAGACAGUUGGCAGGCUGACAAGGACCUGGCGGCAGUCACCUUUAUGAUUGUAUAAAAUAACUGGCGAAAUACCAUAAACUUGAUUUGGAUUUUGAAUGUGAGAGUGUAAAUAUUUUUAAAUCAACAAUAUUGAAAGAAGGAUUAAUAAUUAUUCAAUUUUCUCGAAGAUAAAUUUGAUGUGGUAUUGGUAAUCUAAAUGACUUGAGAUUAAUACAGAAAGAAAAGAAGUGUUUGAACCAAAAUUGAAGAAGUGUUUGAACCAAAAUUGAAGAAGUGUUUGAA
Long non-coding RNA from Patiria miniata (bat star), 353 nucleotides. RefSeq lists it as uncharacterized. Lineage: Eukaryota; Metazoa; Echinodermata; Asteroidea; Valvatida; Asterinidae. The transcript has 2 exons. The record is from RefSeq and is a predicted model, not a curated record.